CGCCAUCGCUUCUGUCUACUCCUCUGAGGCUGGUAUAUGGGGCAAUGUCGUUUCAACAGAGGCUCCAUGUCGGAUUUUUUAUGCUGGUACUCCUGCAACCCUUGUUGGUAAUGUCCUAUACUGGUUGUUCGGGCGAGAUCCCACACGUAUGAGUGACAUACUGGUAUUUUAUUUGGAUAGACAGAACCUAGUUGUGAAUGUGGGGCCUACUGUUUCAAAUGAUUUCCUGCAUGGCGACCCUCAGAUCAUCGAGGCCGAGGAUGGGGCUGUUGGCUUCGCCAUGUUGCUUCGUACUCGCUUCCAAAUGUGGCACAGAAAUGUCGGUUGUCAAGGAGUUGCCACAUGUGUGCCUUGGAAGACCUUUGAAAUGCAUAGCUUUCUUGGGCCUUCUAUUCAGAUUGGGGGAGAGUUAAAAUGGCUGCUCGGGUAUGAUGAUGUUAAUGACGUAAUAUUUGUACAAGCCAGCCACGGUGUCUAUGCUGUUCAACUUAAGUCAAUGGAAUCAAAGAUACUUUACCAAGCCUAUAGAAACGGUCACAUUCACCCUUUUACGAGUUUCUGUAUACCAGGAACAUCCAUUGAUGGUAGAUCUAAUGGAGCUAAAAUGCUGCAGAGUACAUAUGAUGAUUGUCUAGUUUGAGGGUCUAAUGUACUGAAAUGGCUUAGCUGGGGAAGAAAGGGCUGCUGCAGUUGUCGGUUGCCACUGAGUUUGUCUCACCGCAUCAAAUUUAGUUUAACACGUUGCGUCAAUGUGGUUGGCAGUGGUUACAUGUUAUCUGAAGUAAAAACUCAUCGUAUCGUAGUCUAGCUUAUAAACUCUAAUGUACCAAGAUGCUUUUGAGUACUGGUUCUCCGAGUAUCAUUUCAAGUUGGAUUUCGUUGUA
Lolium rigidum is the source of this 884-nucleotide long non-coding RNA. RefSeq lists it as uncharacterized. NCBI's taxonomy places the organism in Eukaryota, Viridiplantae, Streptophyta, Magnoliopsida, Poales, Poaceae. The record is from RefSeq and is a predicted model, not a curated record. The transcript has 3 exons.